Pangasianodon gigas (Mekong giant catfish) is the source of this 74-nucleotide non-coding RNA. Lineage: Eukaryota; Metazoa; Chordata; Actinopteri; Siluriformes; Pangasiidae. The record is from the annotation of a GenBank genome assembly.
UCCCUGGGGGGUCUAGCGGCUAAGGAAUCCGCGCUCUCACCGCUGCACCCUGGGUUCAAUUCCCAGGCAGGGAA